UCUGUAGGCAUAGUUUAACAAAAAUAUUAGAUUGUGAUUCUAAAGACAGAGGUUAAAAUCCUCUUGCCCA
RNAcentral lists this transfer RNA (70 nucleotides) under Paratrypauchen microcephalus (comb goby). RNAcentral describes it as "tRNA-His". It matches the Rfam family "tRNA". From Rfam's summary of the family: Transfer RNA (tRNA) molecules are approximately 80 nucleotides in length. Their secondary structure includes four short double-helical elements and three loops (D, anti-codon, and T loops). Lineage: Eukaryota; Metazoa; Chordata; Actinopteri; Gobiiformes; Gobiidae. The record is from RNAcentral.